RNAcentral lists this long non-coding RNA (1097 nucleotides) under Cyanistes caeruleus (blue tit). RNAcentral describes it as "lncRNA (ENSCCEG00000003405.1)". The record is from RNAcentral. Lineage: Eukaryota; Metazoa; Chordata; Aves; Passeriformes; Paridae.
UGUCACCCGUGUCACCCCUCACCCGUGUGUCACCUGUCACCUGUGUGUCACCUGUGUGUCACCUGUGACCUGUGUGUCACCUGUCACCCGUGUCACCUUUCAUCUGUGUCACCCGUGUCACCCCUCACCCAUGUGUCACCUGUGUCACCCGUGUGUCACCCCUGUGUCACCUAUGUCACCUGUCACCCGUGUGUCACCUGUGUCACCCCUGUGUGUCACCCCUGUGUGUCACCCUCCCGUCCCCUGCGUGUCCUCGGUGUCACCCGGCGGUUCCUGAUGUCACCUUUGUGUCCCCUCAGGUGGGAAGUGCAAGUGCCGGAGCAAGGCCAGCCGCCGCCACCCCCCAGCGGAGCUGUCACCCCUGGCAGGGACAGGAGCCACCGGCUCGCGCUGAGCUGUCCCCAAGUGUCCCCAAACGUCCCCGAGAGGUGACAGGGGGGAGGGCACGGGGACCUCGGGGAUGUCCCCAAAUGUCCCCAAGGAGGAGCAGGAAUAAAAAUGGGGCAAAAAAAGGAGAUUUUGGUCAUUGGGGGAGGGGCGGCAGCAGCGGGGGACAGCGGAGGUGACACAGGGACAUCGGGUGAGGGUGGCACCAGGAGGUGACACGGGGACAUCGGGUGAGGGUGGCACCAGGAGGUGACACGGGGACAUCGGGUGAGGGUGGUGGCACCAGGAGGUGACACAGGGACAUCGGGUGAGGGUGGCACCAGGAGGUGACACGGGGACAGGGCUGGGGACAUCGGGGUGAGGGUCACAACAGGAGAUGACACCAGGGCAGAGGUGACAUCAGUGGUGGCCUUGGGGACAUUGGGUGAUGGUGGCACCAGCAGGUGACAUGGGGACAUGGGAGGGGACAUUGGGGUGAUGGUGGCCUUGGGGACAUUGGGGUGAGGGUGGCACCAGGAGGCGACACGGGGACAGGGGUGGCCUUGGGGACAUUGGGUGAUGGUGGCACCAGGAGGUGACACCAAGACAGAGGUGACAGUGGCGUUGGGGACAUCAGGUGAUGGUGGUGGCACCAGGAGGUGACACGGGGACAGGGGUGGGGACAUCAGGGCGAGGGUGGUGGCAGGAGGUGACAUGGGGUCAAUGGUGGC